CGAACGCUGGCGGCAGGCUUAACACAUGCAAGUCGAGCGCCCCGCAAGGGGAGCGGCAGACGGGUGAGUAACGCGUGGGAAUCUACCCAUCACUACGGAACAACUCCGGGAAACUGGAGCUAAUACCGGAUAAGCCCGAGAGGGGAAAGAUUUAUUGCCGAAGGAUUGGCCCGCGUCUGAUUAGCUAGUUGGAGAGGUAAUGGCUCACCAAGGCGACGAUCAGUAGCUGGUCUGAGAGGAUGAUCAGCCACACUGGGACUGAGACACGGCCCAGACUCCUACGGGAGGCAGCAGUGGGGAAUAUUGGACAAUGGGGGCAACCCUGAUCCAGCCAUGCCGCGUGAGUGAUGAAGGCCUUAGGGUUGUAAAGCUCUUUUACCUGGGAAGACAAUGACUGUACCAGGAGAAUAAGCCCCGGCUAACUUCGUGCCAGCAG
This 436-nucleotide ribosomal RNA is filed under the name uncultured Bradyrhizobiaceae bacterium. Its description in RNAcentral is "bacterial SSU rRNA". It matches the Rfam family "Bacterial small subunit ribosomal RNA", at positions 30 to 514 of the family's 1533-position model. The record is from RNAcentral. Lineage: Bacteria; Pseudomonadati; Pseudomonadota; Alphaproteobacteria; Hyphomicrobiales; Nitrobacteraceae.